This 800-nucleotide ribosomal RNA is filed under the name Allomuricauda sp. Its description in RNAcentral is "bacterial SSU rRNA". It matches the Rfam family "Bacterial small subunit ribosomal RNA", at positions 51 to 845 of the family's 1533-position model. Lineage: Bacteria; Pseudomonadati; Bacteroidota; Flavobacteriia; Flavobacteriales; Flavobacteriaceae. The record is from RNAcentral.
AACCAUGCAAGUCGAGGGGCAUCACGGAAAAGCUUGCUUUUCUGGUGGCGACCGGCGCACGGGUGCGGAACGCGUAUGGAACCUGCCCCUGUCAGGGGAAUAGCCCAGGGAAACUUGGAUUAAUGCCCCAUGGUACCGCGAUAUCGCAUGAUAUUGCGGUUAAAGAUUUAUCGGACAGGGAUGGCCAUGCGUACCAUUAGUUAGUUGGUGGGGUAACGGCCCACCAAGGCAGCGAUGGUUAGGGGCCCUGAGAGGGGGAUCCCCCACACUGGUACUGAGACACGGACCAGACUCCUACGGGAGGCAGCAGUGAGGAAUAUUGGACAAUGGGCGGGAGCCUGAUCCAGCCAUGCCGCGUGCAGGAUGACGGCCCUAUGGGUUGUAAACUGCUUUUAUACGGGAAGAAAUGCGCCCACGUGUGGGCGUCUGACGGUACCGUAAGAAUAAGGACCGGCUAACUCCGUGCCAGCAGCCGCGGUAAUACGGAGGGUCCGAGCGUUAUCCGGAAUCAUUGGGUUUAAAGGGUCCGUAGGCGGGCCUGUAAGUCAGGGGUGAAAGUUUGUGGCUCAACCAUAAAAUUGCCUUUGAUACUGCAGGUCUUGAGUCAUGGUGGGGUCGCCGGAACAUGUGGUGUAGCGGUGAAAUGCAUAGAUAUCACAUAGAACACCGAUCGCGAAGGCAGGUGGCCAACCAUGUACUGACGCUGAUGGACGAAAGCGUGGGUAGCGAACGGGAUUAGAUACCCCGGUAGUCCACGCCGUAAACGAUGGAUACUAGCUGUGGGGACUUCGGUCUCCGUG